UAUUGAUUAUGUGUCAUGUUGUAACGUAAGGUUGAAAGAGAGACGAUAAUAUCAUUAAGAUUAUCAUAAUAAUGAAUGAACUGGUCGGCGAAAUUUGGUCUACGCAAAGACGUGAUUUCAACGCAUUUAAGACUUUUCUUAAAACGUCAUGAAUAUGGAAAUACAGAGUGUGUCGUUAACAACAUGCUUUAAGGACAAAAUAAUGCGGAGCCGUUUCAAACAUUAGUUGAAAACACGUAACUCUGAUCACAUCUGUAACGCGCAUGCGCAAGUUCUUAGACGCUUGCACCGGGGCCAGAGCGACGUGAACGGGCUGAUACAACCACGGCUACCGGCCCCAAUACUCUGUUCCUGUGGAUGGAGGUUACAUCUGAUGGAGUUUGGCCCUGCAGUUGUCCUGCCUUACACCUGGUCUACUCCUCCACUGCUCUCCCUUAGGUUUUGUCCAGUUGAAGGUGGUCUUGUCCAGCACCGUGAGUGUAG
Long non-coding RNA from Pungitius pungitius (ninespine stickleback), 483 nucleotides. RefSeq lists it as uncharacterized. The record is from RefSeq and is a predicted model, not a curated record. Lineage: Eukaryota; Metazoa; Chordata; Actinopteri; Perciformes; Gasterosteidae. The transcript is spliced from 4 exons.